AUAGCUUUGGAAUUUGUUUGCUCUUUGUUCUCCUGUUCUUUUAGUCUUGAUGUCAGAUUGUUAACUUGAGAUCAUUCUAACUUUUUGAUGUAGGCAUUUGGUGUUAUGAAUUUCUCUCUUAACACUCCCUCAGCUUUCAUUACACCUCAAGA
Long non-coding RNA from Sapajus apella (tufted capuchin), 152 nucleotides. RefSeq lists it as uncharacterized. Lineage: Eukaryota; Metazoa; Chordata; Mammalia; Primates; Cebidae. The transcript is spliced from 3 exons. The record is from RefSeq and is a predicted model, not a curated record.